This 630-nucleotide ribosomal RNA is filed under the name Aspergillus ambiguus. RNAcentral's name for it is "eukaryotic LSU rRNA". It matches the Rfam family "Eukaryotic large subunit ribosomal RNA", at positions 1 to 649 of the family's 3401-position model. Lineage: Eukaryota; Fungi; Ascomycota; Eurotiomycetes; Eurotiales; Aspergillaceae. The record is from RNAcentral.
CCUCGGAUCAGGUAGGGAUACCCGCUGAACUUAAGCAUAUCAAUAAGCGGAGGAAAAGAAACCAACCGGGAUUGCCUCAGUAACGGCGAGUGAAGCGGCAAGAGCUCAAAUUUGAAAGCUGGCCCCUUCGGGGUCCGCAUUGUAAUUUGCAGAGGAUGCUUCGGGUGCAGCCCCCGUCUAAGUGCCCUGGAACGGGCCGUCGUAGAGGGUGAGAAUCCCGUAUGGGGCGGGGUGUCUGCGUCCGUGUGAAGCUCCUUCGACGAGUCGAGUUGUUUGGGAAUGCAGCUCUAAAUGGGUGGUAAAUUUCAUCUAAAGCUAAAUACUGGCCGGAGACCGAUAGCGCACAAGUAGAGUGAUCGAAAGAUGAAAAGCACUUUGAAAAGAGAGUUAAAUAGCACGUGAAAUUGUUGAAAGGGAAGCGCUUGCAACCAGACUCGCCUCCGGGGUUCAGCCGGCCUUCGGGCCGGUGUACUUCCCCGGGGGCGGGCCAGCGUCGGUUUGGGCGGCCGGUCAAAGGCCUCCGGAAUGUAGCGCCCUUCGGGGCGCCUUAUAGCCGGGGGUGCAAUGCGGCCAGCCUGGACCGAGGAACGCGCUUCGGCACGGACGCUGGCAUAAUGGUUGUAAACGACC